RNAcentral lists this ribosomal RNA (555 nucleotides) under uncultured bacterium. RNAcentral describes it as "partial 16S ribosomal RNA". It matches the Rfam family "Bacterial small subunit ribosomal RNA", at positions 355 to 900 of the family's 1533-position model. The record is from RNAcentral.
UAGGGAAUCUUCCACAAUGGACGCAAGUCUGAUGGAGCAACGCCGCGUGAGUGAAGAAGGUUUUCGGAUCGUAAAGCUCUGUUGUUGGUGAAGAAGGAUAGAGGUAGUAACUGGCCUUUAUUUGACGGUAAUCAACCAGAAAGUCACGGCUAACUACGUGCCAGCAGCCGCGGUAAUGCGUAGGUGGCAAGCGUUGUCCGGAUUUAUUGGGCGUAAAGCGAGUGCAGGCGGUCUUUUAAGUCUGAUGUGAAAGCCUUCGGCUUAACCGAAGAAGGACAUCGGAAACUGGGAGACUUGAGUGCAGAAGAGGAGAGUGGAACUCCAUGUGUAGCGGUGAAAUGCGUAGAUAUAUGGAAGAACACCAGUGGCGAAGGCGGCUCUCUGGUCUGUAACUGACGCUGAGGCUCGAAAGCGUGGGUAGCAAACAGGAUUAGAUACCCUGGUAGUCCAUGCCGUAAACGAUGAGUGCUAAGUGUUGGGAGGCUUCCGCCUCUCAGUGCUGCAGCUAACGCAUUAGGCACUCCGCCUGGGGGAGUACGACCGCAAGGUUGAAAC